CUAAUACAUGCAAGUCGAGCGCAGGAAGCAAGACAGAUCCUCAUCUGAGGUGACGACUUGUGGAAUGAGCGGCGGAUGGGUGAGUAACACGUGGGCAACCUGCCUGUAAGCUUGGGAUAACUCCGGGAAACCGGUGCUAAUACCGAAUAAAACUUCUACUCGCAUGAGUGGAAGGUGAAAGGCGGCUUUUAGCUGUCACUUACAGAUGGGCCUGCGGCGCAUUGGCUAGUUGGUGGGGUAACUGCUUACCAAGGCGACGAUGCGUAGCCGACCUGAGAGGGUGAUCGGCCACACUGGGACUGAGACACGGCCCAGACUCCUACGGGAGGCAGCAGUAGGGAAUCUUCCGCAAUGGACGAAAGUCUGACGGAGCAAUGCCGCGUGAGUGAUGAAGGCCUUAGGGUCGUAAAACUCUGUUGUUAGGGAAGAAUAGGUAUCGGAGUAAUAUGCCGGUACUUUGACGGUACCUUACCAGAAAGCCCCGGCUAACUACGUGCCAGCAGCCGCGGUAAUACGUAGGGGGCGAGCGUUGUCCGGAAUUAUUGGGCGUAAAGGGCGCGCAGGCGGUUUCUUAAGUCUGAUGUGAAAUCUCGUGGCUUAACCACGAGCGGUCGUUGGAAACUGGGAAACUUGAGUACAGAAGAGGAGAGUGGAAUUCCACGUGUAGCGGUGAAAUGCGUAGAGAUGUGGAGGAACACCAGUGGCGAAGGCGGC
RNAcentral lists this ribosomal RNA (714 nucleotides) under uncultured bacterium. RNAcentral describes it as "bacterial SSU rRNA". It matches the Rfam family "Bacterial small subunit ribosomal RNA", at positions 48 to 725 of the family's 1533-position model. The record is from RNAcentral.